RNAcentral lists this ribosomal RNA (270 nucleotides) under uncultured archaeon. Its description in RNAcentral is "partial 16S ribosomal RNA". It matches the Rfam family "Archaeal small subunit ribosomal RNA", at positions 477 to 747 of the family's 1478-position model. The record is from RNAcentral.
CGGCAGCCCGAGUGGUGAUCACUAUUAUUGGGCCUAAAGCGUCCGUAGCCGGAUAGGCAAGUCUUUGGGUAAAUCCUACGUCUUAAGCGUGGGAAUUCUAAAGAUACUACCUGUCUUGAGGCCGGGAGAGGCUAGAGGUACUCCUGGGGUAGGGGUAAAAUCCUAUAAUCCCAGGGGGACCACCGAUGGCGAAGGCAUCUAGCUGGAACGGGCCUGACGGUGAGGGACGAAACCCAGGGGAGCGAGCCGGAUUAGAUACCCGAGUAGUCC